GAUGAACGCUGGCGGCGUGCCUAAUACAUGCCAGUCGAGCGAACAGAUGAGGAGCUUGCUCCUCUGACGUUAGCGGCGGACGGGUGAGUAACACGUGGAUAACCUACCUAUAAGACUGGGAUAACUUCGGGAAACCGGAGCUAAUACCGGAUAAUAUAUUGAACCGCAUGGUUCAAUAGUGAAAGACGGUUUUGCUGUCACUUAUAGAUGGAUCCGCGCCGCAUUAGCUAGUUGGUAAGGUAACGGCUUACCAAGGCGACGAUGCGUAGCCGACCUGAGAGGGUGAUCGGCCACACUGGAACUGAGACACGGUCCAGACUCCUACGGGAGGCAGCAGUAGGGAAUCUUCCGCAAUGGGCGAAAGCUUGACGGAGCGACGCCGCGUGAGUGAUGAAGGUCUUCGGAUCGUAAAACUCUGUUAUUAGGGAAGAACAAAUGUGUAAGUAACUAUGCACGUCUUGACGGUACCUAAUCAGAAAGCCACGGCUAACUACGUG
Molecule: ribosomal RNA, 497 nt
Filed under: uncultured bacterium
Lineage: Bacteria
Description: partial 16S ribosomal RNA
Rfam family: Bacterial small subunit ribosomal RNA
Source: RNAcentral